GCCUAUGGCCAUACCACCCUCACCAUGCCUGAUCUCCUCUGAUCUUGGAAGCUAAGCAGUGUCCAGUACCUGGGAAUACCAGGUGUUGUAUUGU
RNAcentral lists this ribosomal RNA (94 nucleotides) under Crocodylus porosus (Australian saltwater crocodile). The record is from RNAcentral. Lineage: Eukaryota; Metazoa; Chordata; Crocodylia; Crocodylidae.